ACCUACUGUUUAAUUUUGAAAGUUCUUUAUGAACUUCAUAUUUGGGGGUGUAGCUCAGUUGGGAGAGCACUUGCCUUGCAAGCAAGGGGUCAGGAGUUCGACUCUCCUCAUCUCCACCAUUUAAGAGCAUAUUACUCAAAUCUUUGAUUUAUCUAGUAGUCUCUUACAUUGCACUUUAAGCUUAUUUUUGUACAAGCUUGUGUGUUAGCACUUUAAGCAACGGGAUUUAUCCGUUGGCGACGUGCUUUAGCACUUUGAAAACUGCAUAUAUAUUUAGUGAUAUGACAUCUAAUUUGUAAUAUAUAAAGCUGAUAACUUUUAAAAAUUAUCAAGUUGAUAGACUUUAAUCUAUCAAACCUUUUUAACUGGUCAA
RNAcentral lists this transfer RNA (373 nucleotides) under Clostridioides difficile. RNAcentral's name for it is "16S-23S ribosomal RNA intergenic spacer (ISR)". The stretch from base 44 to 116 matches the Rfam family "tRNA". Lineage: Bacteria; Bacillati; Bacillota; Clostridia; Peptostreptococcales; Peptostreptococcaceae. The record is from RNAcentral.